GACGAACGCUGGCGGCGUGCUUAACACAUGCAAGUCGAGCGGAAAGGCCCUUCGGGGUACUCGAGCGGCGAACGGGUGAGUAACACGUGAGUAACCUACCUCGAACUCUGGGAUAAGCCUGGGAAACUGGGUCUAAUACCGGAUGUUCAUCUCCUGCUGCAUGGUGGGGGAUGGAAAGUGUUUAGCGGUUCGGGAUGGGCUCGCGGCCUAUCAGCUUGUUGGUGAGGUAAUGGCUUACCAAGGCUUUUACGGGUAGCCGGCCUGAGAGGGCGACCGGCCACACUGGGACUGAGAUACGGCCCAGACUCCUACGGGAGGCAGCAGUGGGGAAUAUUGCGCAAUGGGCGGAAGCCUGACGCAGCAACGCCGUGUGAGGGAUGACGGCCUUCGGGUUGUAAACCUCUUUCACCAGGGACGAAGCUUUUGUGACGGUACCUGGGGAAGAAGCGCCGGCCAACUACGUGCCAGCAGCCGCGGUAACACGUAGGGCGCGAGCGUUGUCCGGAAUUAUUGGGGCGUAAAGGGCUCGUAGGCGGGUUUGUCGCGUCGAAAGUGAAAAUCCCGGGGCUCAACUCCGGACUUGCUUUCGAUACGGGCAGGCUAGAGGUAGGCAGGGGAGAAUGGAAUUCCUGGUGUAGCGGUGGAAUGCGCAGAUAUCAGGAGGGACACCGGUGGCGAAGGCGGUUCUCUGGGCCUUACCUGACGCUGAGGAGCGAAAGCGUGGGAAGCGAACAGGAUUAGAUACCCUGGUAGUCCACGCUGUAAACGUUGGGCGCUAGGUGUGGGAGUCUUUUGUGACGUCCGUGCCGUAGCUAACCGCAUUUAGCCCCCCCGCCUGGGGAAGUACGGUCGCAAGACUAAAACUCAAAAGGAAUUGACGGGGGCCUGCACAAGCGGCGGAGCAUGUUGCUUAAUUCGAGGCAACGCGAAGAACCUUACCUGGGUUUGACAUGUGGGUUAAUCCGGCAGAGAUGUCGGGUCCUUUUGGGAACUCAUGCAGGUGGUGCAUGGCUGUCGUCAGCUCGUGUCGUGAGAUGUUGGGUUAAGUCCCGCAACGAGCGCAACCCUCGUCCUAUGUUGCCAGCACGUUAUGGUGGGGACUCAUAGGAGACUGCCGGGGUCAACUCGGAGGAAGGUGGGGAUGAUGUCAAGUCUUCAUGCCCCUUAUGUCCAGGGCUGCAAACAUGCUACAAUGGUCGGUACAAUGGGCUGCGAGACCGUGAGGUGGAGCGAAUCCCUAAAAGCCGGCCUCAGUUCGGAUCGGGGUCUGCAACUCGACCCCGUGAAGUUGGAGUCGCUAGUAAUCGCGGAUCAGCAACGCCGCGGUGAAUACGUUCCCGGGCCUGCACACACCGCC
RNAcentral lists this ribosomal RNA (1357 nucleotides) under uncultured bacterium. RNAcentral's name for it is "bacterial SSU rRNA". It matches the Rfam family "Bacterial small subunit ribosomal RNA", at positions 28 to 1394 of the family's 1533-position model. The record is from RNAcentral.